CUGCAGGAAUAAGGCACGGCCUAACUCGGUGCCAGCAGCCGCGGUAAUACGGAGGGUCCAAGCGUUGUCCGGAAUCACUGGGCGUAAAGGGUGUGCAGGUGGGGCACCAAGUCAGAGGUGAAACCCCGCGGCUUAACCGCGGAGGUGCUUUUGAAACUGUUGUUCUUGAGUCCCGGAGAGGUUGCCGGAAUUGGUGGUGUAGCGGUGAAAUGGGUAGAUAUCACGAGGACCCCCAGAGGCGAAAGCGGGCAACUGGACGGGUACUGACAUUGAGGCAGGAAAGGUGGGGGAGCAAACAGGAUAAGAUACCUGGGUAGUCCGCCCGGUAAACGAUGAAUGCUCGCGGUUGCCUCGUCAAGGGGCAGUGGCUAAGCUAACGCGUAAGCAUCCGCCUGGGAUU
This 400-nucleotide ribosomal RNA is filed under the name uncultured Bacteroidota bacterium. RNAcentral's name for it is "bacterial SSU rRNA". It matches the Rfam family "Bacterial small subunit ribosomal RNA", at positions 478 to 880 of the family's 1533-position model. The record is from RNAcentral. Lineage: Bacteria; Pseudomonadati; Bacteroidota.